RNAcentral lists this transfer RNA (56 nucleotides) under Camelus bactrianus (Bactrian camel). It matches the Rfam family "tRNA", at positions 9 to 63 of the family's 71-position model. From Rfam's summary of the family: Transfer RNA (tRNA) molecules are approximately 80 nucleotides in length. Their secondary structure includes four short double-helical elements and three loops (D, anti-codon, and T loops). Further hydrogen bonds mediate the characteristic L-shaped molecular structure. tRNAs have two regions of fundamental functional importance: the anti-codon, which is responsible for specific mRNA codon recognition, and the 3' end, to which the tRNAs corresponding amino acid is attached (by aminoacyl-tRNA synthetases). tRNAs cope with the degeneracy of the genetic code in two manners: having more than one tRNA (with a specific anti-codon) for a particular amino acid; and 'wobble' base-pairing, i.e. permitting non-standard base-pairing at the 3rd anti-codon position. RNAcentral also lists the same sequence under 2 other names. Lineage: Eukaryota; Metazoa; Chordata; Mammalia; Artiodactyla; Camelidae. The record is from Rfam by way of RNAcentral.
AGCUCAGUGGUAGAGCGUGUGCUUGGCAUGCACCAGGGCCUGGGUUCAAUCCUCAG